Varanus komodoensis (Komodo dragon) is the source of this 7381-nucleotide RNA transcript. It is a transcript of the gene named protein phosphatase 2 regulatory subunit B''alpha, with no coding region annotated. NCBI's taxonomy places the organism in Eukaryota, Metazoa, Chordata, Lepidosauria, Squamata, Varanidae. The transcript has 17 exons. The record is from RefSeq and is a predicted model, not a curated record.
UGGGCCAGCCCUCCCUUGGCAGGGAACUGACGCCGCCUUUGCCUCUCUUUCUUCACCUCCCCAUCCCCACUUCAACGCGCGCUGUAGGCGCCCCCUUCGUUGUGCGGAAGGGACAGGAAAAGAGGCACAACCUCUCUCCGCUAGAGGGUGGAGGAAGGAGGAGGAGGAGGGUCGAGUGCGAAGAGAGCCCCAGGAUGGGAACGGGAGUCACCUCGGCGGCGGUUGCCAGGGGGAAAAAACUGUCUCUCCAAGGAGAAGGGAAUUCAUAUGUCACAAAAGGUAUCUUCCACAUCAAUGGAAGAAUUGGAUCAACCAAGCAUUCUACGUACCUUUUCCUUCUCCAUGCUAUCUGAUCCUCAGAGCAGCACAUCUGGACAAAGUACUCAAGAGAAAACUGUUUCAUUUUUCUUCAAGUGGAAUAAAGUUCUACAAUUCUAUGUCUUAUAUUCAUACACACUGACAGAAGGAGACAAUCUUUCAUCAUUAUGGGACUCUUGGUGUGGGAUACAAGUUUUCAAUAUUUUAAUGAAUAAAUAAAAUGUAACCAGUGUACCCUAAAUCCUCAUUACACUGGUCAUGUUAACUUUUUCAUAGAUACAUAUCCUAGAAUCUUGUUUUUACUAUGUUGUAAUAUUUUCUUAGCAGAAUCACCCAGGAACAUGUAUGUGAUUUGCAGAGUGAUGAUGUGAAUCACUGUCUUAGUUCAGUUCAUAGUGUAGUCUGUUAAAAUUCACAUUAUGGCAGCAACGUAUAGGCGUGUAGUAACAACAGUGAAUUGUUACAGCAGCGUUGUGAUAGAUCGUAGACUUCAGCAUGCUGUGCAUUAUUGCACUGGAGCAUGUCAGGUAUUCAAGCAAGGAGUUACAUGCAUAGUGGCCCACCACAGUGUCUGUGCAGAACUAAUUAAAUUCCCUACACGGAAUCUUAGAAGUUCAGACCUGACCCAUAAUUUCUCAGUCCCUGAAAAUUCUCUUGCUUUGUCUGGGGAUGAAGAUUAUCAUCAAAUCCUUCCUAGUAAUCCAAGACUCAAAAAGGGAUCUUCCAUUCAAAGCACUGGAAGUCUGAAAGAUAUCACUGGAGAAGCCAUAAAUCUUGCUAGUGGAAAAAUAAAGGAAUUUUCAUUUGAAAAACUCAGAAACUCUUCGAGUCAGUUCAACUAUAGAAAGGGAAGAAAAGUUAAGUCAGACUCAUUCAGCAGAAGGUCACUAGACUUUGACUUGAUCUAUGGACAUUUUAGCAAUGAUGAAAAUUCACCCCCUUCUUUUGGCCUGUCACAUCAGUCAUCACCUGAAGAGAAAUGGCAGAUCAGCAGUACCUCAGUAGAGGGAAAUGUAAAUUCUACCAUUCCCUCACCUAUGCAGACUUUCUUUGAAGAUAGUUUUAUCACACAGAUUUUGGAAAAGCACAAGCUGGAUGGUUCUUCCAGUGGAGAUAUUAAGAUGUGCUUGGACAUCUUGUUAAAGUGCUCAGAGGACUUGAAGAAGUGUACUGAUAUAAUAAAGCAGUGCAUCAAGAAAAAAUCUUCAGGUAGUGUCAGUGAAGGAACUGGUAAUGAUCCAUUGGCCAACUCUGAAAUGAUCUAUAUGAAUUUAAUGACAAGAUUUUCUUCUUACCUUAAAAAGCUGCCAUUUGAAUUUAGGCAGCCUGGGAUCACUGAACCUGGUGACAUGGUAGAAAUGAUUAACAGUUUGUCUACUUUACAACAGUCUCAUUUCUCCCCAAUAUUUCGCAAUGAACAGCCACCUAGAUACGAGGAUGUUGUAUCCUCCUCAUCCUCUUUGACAAGGCAGCCUUUUACUAUGGACUUACAGGGUAGCCAAAAUAGCACUGAUACGAAUACCUCAGCAAAUUCAACCCAAAUCCCAACUGUAGAUAUUUCUUCAAAUGCUUUGCAUGUCAACAACCAGCAGGACAAUUUAGGAUUUAGAAAUGAAGCCUGUGGACUACCUCAGUUACCAUCUUUAAACCCAUCAGACUGUAUUUCUCCCACAGAAACUCUGUACAUUGUAGAAGAAUCAGAUAAAGUAUUAGGCUCUGCAUUGAGUACCAAAAGCAGAGGAAUAUGGGAGAAUUCAGAAAGCAGCCAGCAGAGAGCAAAAAAGGCAGAUCCUGCUGUAGAUCCUCCUAAAGCAUCACCUAUUGUAGUACAGCCUGUAACACUGGCCCAGACCUUCACUCCAGCAACCUCCAUCAGUAAAAGCUUUGAUGGUACUAUGCCUGUUUCUAAGGGAGAAGCCAGAAAUAACAAUCAAGAAGAGAUAGACAAACUUCUAUUGGAUUUGGAGCAUUUUUCACAAAAAAUGGAGACUACUCUCAGAGAGACUUCUCCUAAGCAGAGUGAUUCUGCAUGUUUGAAGGAUAUUAGUCUAUCUCGAACUCCUGACAAUAAAUCAUGUUCAUCUGCAGACAAAAGUGCUUCCUCUUCUUUAUCAAAACUCAUAGAAUCCAACGGUCAUAAAAUAGAGGAAGAAGACAAAACCCUUUUAUUGCGUAUCCUGGAGAGUAUUGAAGAUUUUGCUCAGGAACUAGUAGAAUUCCGAAUGGGCAAAGGAAGCUUAUCAAAGGAGAAGGAAGUGAUGCACAUUCUUCAGGAAACUUUGGCUACUCCCUCCAUCGUAGUUACCAAAGAUCCAGUCCGAGGGCAAAUUCAACAGAUGCCAGAGGUUAUUGAGGUCCAAAAUAAACAAGAAAAGAAAUCUGUGACUCCAUCCCCUGCUCCUACGAAUUCAACAGUCAGCUCACAAUCUCUUCUGCCUCCAAAUAAAGUAACUGUUGCUGCCCCUUUAUCCAUAAGCAUUCCACGCUUCUAUUUCCCCAAUGGACUUCCUAAUGUAUGCAACAGUCAUGAAGAGACCAUUGCCAAGGUUGAGGCAGCCUUUUCAGAGUUUGAAGAUGAGAGAGUUCCUCUUAAUGAAAUGGGGAAAAUUGCAAAGGUAUGCUGCUGCCCCCUGUACUGGAAAGCUCCCAUGUUCUAUGCAUCAGGAGGAGAACGAACAGGAUUUGUGUCCAUACAUUCAUUUGUGGCCAUGUGGAGAAAGAUACUACACAACUGCCAUGAUGAUGCAUCAAAAUUCAUUUGUCUUUUAACAAAACCCAACUGUAACUAUCUGGAACAAGAAGAUUUCAUCCCAUUACUGCAGGAUGUAGUAGAAACUCACCCUGGAUUGACAUUUCUAAAGGAUGCUCCAGAAUUUCAUUCCCGCUAUAUUACUACGGUUAUUCAAAGAAUAUUUUACACAGUCAAUAGAUCAUGGAAUGGGAAAAUAUCGCUGACAGAGUUGAGGAAAAGUAACUUUCUGCAAACCUUAGCUCUCUUGGAAGAAGAGGAAGACAUAAAUCAAAUUACUGAUUAUUUUUCCUAUGAGCAUUUCUAUGUCAUUUACUGUAAAUUCUGGGAAUUGGACACUGACCAUGACCUCUACAUCAACCAGAAAGAUCUAGCUAGAUACAAUGAUCAAGCUCUGUCAAACAAGAUUAUAGAAAGAGUAUUCAGUGGAGCUGUACUUAGAGGAGUUCAAGCACACACAGAGAACCAGAUGAGCUAUGCAGAUUUUGUGUGGCUUCUGAUCUCUGAAGAAGAUAAAAAAAGCCCAACAAGCAUUGAGUACUGGUUCCGAUGCAUGGAUUUGGAUGGGGAUGGCACACUCUCCAUGUAUGAACUGGAGUAUUUUUAUGAAGAACAGUGUGAGAGGAUGGAAUCCAUGGGCAUUGAACCAUUGCCAUUCCAUGAUUUACUGUGCCAAAUGCUUGAUCUGGUAAAGCCAGAAAGUGAGGGAAGGGUAACUCUGCGAGAUUUGAAGCGAUGCAGAAUGGCACCUGUAUUUUAUAAUACAUUUUUUAACUUGGAAAAGUACCUGGACAAUGAACAACGAGAUCCAUUUGCUGUGCAAAAGGAUGUUGAAAAUGAUGGUCCUGAGCCUUCUGACUGGGAUAGAUAUGCUGCUGAGGAAUAUGAAAUUCUUGUUGCUGAAGAGUCUGGCAAUGAACAGUUACAAGAAGGAUCCUUUGAUGAUGACUAUGAAACCGAUGAACUCUUAUCUCUACCUGAAAUUGGAGAAAAGCCAGACAAAUUAGUUAUUUCAGAUCUUUCAGCUUAGAAAUAUUCGAGAAUUGUCUCUAAGGUAUGAGAAAGACUCUUAUCUGAAAACCUGGAGAACAGCAGCCAAUCAAUUUAGACAAUACUGAGCUGGAUGGACCAAUGACCUGCCUUGGUAUAAGGCAAGUGCCUAUUCAGCAGGGAUGGGUAACUUCUGGAGGUCUGGGAGUGAUUUUUAUCCCCUGAACCCUUAGUGUGGGACACCACAGAACAUCCAAUAGCCUAAAUCACUGGUUUGGUGCCAAUAUUUGAGGCAAAUUGCUUUGUAGAAAAAAACGUAAUGGUUAAAUUUAACAUGUUUCUGAGUUAGAUUUAAUCCUUUAGGCGCUCCAGAACCAUUUUUUCCUGAAGAAGAAGUUUUUAACUUUGGGGAAGGCAAUGGAGAUGGUAGGGGGUUGCAGGAGGAGGGUGGGACAGAAUACAGGCUUUCAGUUGCCUACCCUUUCUCUGCAGAGUACUUUUUCACUUUACUAAGUAAUUUCAAUGAAGUCCUGUGUACUUAGAUUUAUAGAGCAAAGUUUUCUGGUCAGAGGCUGUAAUAUUCAGACAGGCUUGCUGCACAGCACCUCCUGUAUUUAUUUUAUUUAUUAAAUAAUAAUAUUUAAUAAAUAAAAUAAUAGUAUUUAUUUUAGAAAUUAAACACUACCCUAUUGUGGUGAUCUGUGUAAUAAUAAUCAAAUUAACAUUAUUAAUACUGGUCUAUGCACUUUAUACAUUUUUCUUCCUCCAAGUUUUACUAGUUUGGGGCAGACUUGAAAGUAGAAACUAUUGUAAAAUUCCUGCAGUUAAAAAAAAUAAUAAAGUUAAUUCCAGGUGGUGUAGCAUAAACAGAAAAGGUCUAGAAUAUAAUGGACACUUGUGAUUGAGGCAAUAGCAAACAUACUUGGGAAAAGGUAGUCAUUAUUAUAAUGGCCAUGUAAUUAAUUCUUACUACAUUGCAUUCAUAUCUUGCUUUUUGCCCCUUAUGGGUAACGGACAGUACCUUACAUAGGCCUUCUCUAGGUUAAGAAGUAGAAGCUUAGAACAGAGAAUACUAUAAAAUUAUAUGUUACAUUUAGUGAAUCUACUAUGUGUAAAUAGCAAUGAGGAAUUUCUUGAUCUAGAUUGCAUUUGGUAGAAAAGAUGAACAAUAACGGGAAUUAUUUAUUUUAAAGGGAUAUUUUGACAAAGGCUCUAGGCAAAUGACUCCACAGAAUUAAUGACAUUUUUGUUCCCAUGUUACCUAUACCAUUUUACCAAAAAAAAUAUUCUGUUGGAUUAUCUUCAAUUACAUGGAUUUUCUUCUAGGAAACAUAUACAGUUGUAGUUUUAGGGGCUAUGGAGGCUUGUCCUUGAGUUGCUAGAAAAAUUGUUUAUUUCUCUGCCCAUUUUCCCAGCAUAUUGGAUUUUAAUUUAGAGCACUUGUUCCAAUGUAACAGCUCAUUACUAAGGAUCUGACAGAUUUUAUCAAGACUUUGAUAAAAUCCACAGAAACAAUUCAGUGGUACAUCAGUAGCAUUUAUAUAAACAAAUAUUAGACAAUGGAAUACAUUACAUUUUAAUGGAACUGACAUGCAUAUUUCAGAAUUAUAUUUUAAUAACAAAUUAUUUUGAUUUAAACAACUUGCAGUAUAAUUCAGUGAAGGUGUCUGUAACUCUCCACUCUUAGAAAUACUGGGCGUCCUAUGUCAGCUUAAAGGAACAUAGAGGCAAAUGUUGCCUCCACACUUCUUUUGCCCUGUAAAACACUUAGGAUGAUUUUAGUCAUCUCAGUGUUCUGCCUUGGAGCAUGAGCAGAUGAACAGAUGAAACUGAGGUGCAGCCAGGAAACUGCAUAUAGUUGACAUUUAUUCAUUCCACCACUCCACCCACCAUAUCCCAACUCUGAAGUUGCUUUUACAACUUUAGAGUUGCAGUUCUUUCCAGACCAGCUGCAAGGGUGGAAGGAGGGUGCUUGAACUUCCCAGUCCCAGCUUCAACCUUGAAAUGUGUUUCCAGGAUAGAGCUGGGACUCUGAUUAAUUCUAUGACCAUCUAGUUACUCACACGUUCUUCCUGUGCCCAAUUUAUAUAGCGCUGCUGUCCAGUGAACUGGAUCUUGGGCAGUAUGUCAUGUAAGGCUCUAACUGGGGUCAGCUGGUCCUUGGAAAACUUUACUAGGCUUCUUUGUUACUAUUCCAGUCAGGAAUGAUUUCAUUUUUCAAUCAUUUCCUCACCAUGUAGUUAUGUUUGAAAAACUGUCCUGUGGAGAAUCCAAGCAGAGCAUCCUGAACAAAACCCAACAGCGCCCCCAACACACACACACACCACUUCAUUUUGCCUAAUGCGUUUUCAUACUACUACUUAUUCAAGGUAACACUCAGCAUACUCCUUUAGCUCAUGUUAUACACAAAUGUAUGUUAAAUGUCAGUCUGGAUAGAAAACUAAGCGGCUAUAUUUUACUUGCUGUCAAGUAAAUAGGAUUAGUCACAAUUAGUAUCAUUACACUUGAAGCCAAUGGUGUAGAUGUGCAGGUAAGUUUAAAUAAUUUUGGUAACCCAUUACUAUCACUUGUAGUAGCACUGUAUUUAGGACUAUGUGAUACUUUGUAUUCAGAAACACUCAAAAAUAUGUUGAGUUUUCUGUAUUCUGGGAUCUUUUAGCCUCCUUGGAGCACAAGAAGGAGCGAGGUGCCCAAUGUUGUAUUCCUAAUUCUGCAGUGCAGCUGCCAUGCACCACUAGUACAGCUUGUGAUUAUUGUGUGUGCACCAAAUACUUUCUUAAAUUUUGAAUGAUAUUAGUCUGUAGAGAUGCAUUUUAGUAAAAUUCUGACAGUAUAACGAUUAUCUGCUUUUAAUUAUGUAUAUCACUUUUCUUAUCUGAAGAGUGGAAAUAAUAGCAUCUACCUCAUAGGAAAGGGGUUAAGAUAAUUCAGUUUGCUAUAUUAUAGAAAUUCCUUUCAAUAUAUAGGGCUCAAGCAAUACUUGACUGGUAAUGCCUUUCCUUUUAUGCAUGUAGGGACAACAUCUCCUUAUGCUUCUUCUGAUUGAAGUGGGAACUUGCUACCUUCUUAAGGAAUCAAGAUUAAAUUCAACAAAAUGCAAGUGAACAUCUGCCCAUGCAGGGAGAAUUUGUCUUUUCUUCCCUCCAUGGAUACCCCAACUCUGCUCUGGAGCAUUCUCCAUCCCUCUGGGACAGAUUUUGGGUUUGUGGAUGGGAUUGUAUUGGUGGGACGGGAUUCAAUCAACUAGCAGUACUGGUUGUGUUGUGGAAGGAUGCUGUUAAAUACAAUUAAAAUGCAUAAUUUGAUAUUGACCAAGCAACAGCA